GGUCAAGUUAUUAAGGGUGCAGGGCGGAUGCCUUGGCACUAGGAGCCGAUGAAGGACGUGAUAAGCUGCGAUAAGCUUCGGGGAGUUGCACGUAAACUUUGAUCCGAAGAUUUCCGAAUGAGGAAACUCACUUAGAGUAAUGUCUAAGUAUCAUUAAGUGAAUACAUAGCUUAAUGAGGGGAACUCAGGGAACUGAAACAUCUAAGUACCUGAAGGAAGAGAAAGAAAUUCGAUUCCGUAAGUAGCGGCGAGCGAACGCGGAUUAGCCCAAACCAAUAAAGUUUUCUUUAUUGGGGUUGCGGACAUAUCAUAACGAAGAGGUAUCGUAAUUGAAGAGGUUUGGAAAGACCCACCACAGAAGGUAAUAGUCCUGUAUGUUAAACGAGAAGACUUCAGAUAUGAUCCAGAGUACCACGGGACACGUGAAACCCUGUGGGAAGCAGGAGGGACCACCCUCCAAGGCUAAAUACUACCUAGUGACCGAUAGCGUAUAGUACCGUGAGGGAAAGGUGAAAAGAACCCCGGGAGGGGAGUGAAAUAGAACCUGAAACCCUGCACUUACAAGCUGUGGAAGCACAUUUCUUGUGUGACCGCGUACUUUUUGUAGAACGGGCCAACGAGUUACGUUAAGUAGCAAGGUUAAGCACUUAAGGUGCGGAGCCGUAGCGAAAGCGAGUUUUAACUGAGCGUUCAGUUACUUGACGUAGACCCGAAACCGGGCGACCUACCCAUGAGCAGGAUGAAGCGAAAGUAAAAUUUCGUGGAGGUCCGAACCCACGAGCGUUGAAAAGCUCGGGGAUGACUUGUGGGUAGCGGUGAAAUUCCAAUCGAGCCCGGAGAUAGCUGGUUCUCCCCGAAAUAGCUUUAGGGCUAGCCUCAAGGUGAGAGAUACGGAGGUAGAGCACUGAAUGUCCUAGGGGGUAUUGCACCUACCGAAGACUAUCAAACUCCGAAUGCCGUCAUCUUAUACUUGGGAGUCAGACUGUGGGUGAUAAGAUUCAUAGUCGAAAGGGCAACAGCCCAGAUCGUCAGCUAAGGUCCCUAAAUGUAAGUUAAGUGGUAAAGGAUGUGGGAUUGCACAGACAACCAGGAUGUUGGCUUAGAAGCAGCCACUCAUUCAAAGAGUGCGUAAUAGCUCACUGGUCGAGUGAUCCUGCGCCGAAGAUUUCCGGGGCUAAAACUUACUACCGAAGCUACGGCAUCAGUAAUGAUGGGUAGGGGAGCUUCCCAUACGGGUUGAAGCAUGACCGUAAGGACAUGUGGACAGUAUGGGAGUGAGAAUGUUGGCAUGAGUAGCGAGAUGUGGGUGAGAAUCCCACAGGCCGUAAACCCAAGGUUUCCAGGGGAAGGUUCGUCCGCCCUGGGUUAGUCGGGACCUAAGCUGAGGCCGAAAGGCGUAGGUGAUGGACAACAGGUUGAUAUUCCUGUACUACCGAUAACCGUUUGAGAGAAGGGAUGACACAGUAGGAUAAGCUAAGCACACUGUUGGUUAUGUGUGCCCAAGCAUUGAGGCAGUCAAAGUAGGCAAAUCCGCUUUGAUAAUGCUGGGAUGUGAUGGGGAGCGAAAUUUAGUAGCGAAGUAGCUGAUUUCACACUGUCAAGAAAAGUCUCUAUCGAGGUUAAAGGUACCCGUACCGCAAACCGACACAGGUGGGUGAGGAGAGUAUCCUAAGGCCAGCGAGAGAACUGUUGUUAAGGAACUCGGCAAAAUGACCCCGUAACUUAGGGAUAAGGGGUGCCACCAUCAGGUGGCCGCAGAGAAUAGGCCCAAGCGACUGUUUACCAAAAACAUAGGUUUCUGCUAAGUCGCAAGACGAUGUAUAGGAGCUGACGCCUGCCCGGUGCUGGAAGGUUAAGGGGAUCUGUUAGAGCAAUCGAAGCAGUGAACUUAAGCCCCAGUAAACGGCGGCCGUAACUAUAACGGUCCUAAGGUAGCGAAAUUCCUUGUCGGGUAAGUUCCGACCCGCACGAAAGGCGUAACGAUUUGGGCACUGUCUCAACAACAGACUCGGUGAAAUUGUAAUUCCGGUGAAGAUGCCGGAUACCUGCGACAGGACGGAAAGACCCCAUGGAGCUUUACUGUAGCUUGACAUUGGG
Molecule: ribosomal RNA, 2097 nt
Filed under: Clostridioides difficile
Lineage: Bacteria; Bacillati; Bacillota; Clostridia; Peptostreptococcales; Peptostreptococcaceae
Description: partial 23S ribosomal RNA
Rfam family: Bacterial large subunit ribosomal RNA
Source: RNAcentral